This is a non-coding RNA of Pelobates cultripes (western spadefoot toad), 483 nucleotides long. Lineage: Eukaryota; Metazoa; Chordata; Amphibia; Anura; Pelobatidae. The record is from the annotation of a GenBank genome assembly.
GGGGGGGAACCUGAUAGGACCGCUACUUUCUUUUCUCCCUUUUCGACUCUCUUUCCCAUGCUGACCCCUCUUACAUGUCUAAUACACAAUGCACACGCCUGGGGGACAGGGGGAGGAGGGGGAAGCCAAGAGUCAAGAAAACCAAAAAAAAAAAAAGGAAUACAUAAUACUGGCACUAUUAUCGGUACAUCGAAUUGCGGGACAUGGGAACACACCCAUAGGAUAACCAAGCCUAACCUUAAGACCAAAGCACCUACGCUCCUUUCAUGCCAGGAGCUAGUUAACUAUGUCCAGCCUAUUAUUAGGCACUCCUGCUACAAGGUAUACUGUGUCUUAUGAAGGCACCCGACUUAGAGCCACGCUUUAUGUUAAAAGACCGCUUACUAGCAAUAAGGAUGUUACAUACUAUACAUAUGUACGUACGCCAAAACAAUGACGGUUGUCACUCUACAUACUUUACCUUUCUGUUAUCCUAUGUACGCC